UAUAUGAAGCUGGCUGUGGGAAUAAAAAAAUUGUUGAUUUUUAUGAGUUUUGAAUCAAGCAUUUGAUGAGCAUAUAUGUCCAGUAAACACAAAAAUAAGGAAAGCCUGAUUAAUUUAGAUGUUUAUUGGCAAAGUGUCUGUAUCUGUUUAUUGGUAGAAUAUUUGGCUAGGAGAAAUCUGAAUGUCUCCUGUUUUCAUCACACAGAAUCAAUUAUAAGGAAUCAUUUUUUAUUUAUUUUUAAUAAUCUACGACUAGUAGCUCUCUAGUCUUUUUUCUUAAGACCAUCAAGGCUGAUGCCAUUGUCUUUCAACUGGAAAUGCGUAGAACUUCAGCUAUUUGAAAUUAAAAUGAAAUUCUCUUGCCUAAUUUAUGAAUCAAAAGAACGUAUGUGUUUUAUGUAGAUUUUGGGUUAGGCUGGAGAGUUAACAUAAUGGGAGUGGUCUUGCAGGUUUUCUUUUCUCUGGCAGCAAACUUGAAUAGGCACAAAAACCUUGUUUAUGUUUCCUGACAUCUGGGUUUUUAUCAUUCAGUUAAAAAUAUUUGGCGGUCUUACUUACCGUAUUUUUCGCUCUAUAACACGCACCCAACCAUAACACGCACGUAGUUUUUAGAGGAGGAAAAUCCGUAGGCAUGCCACCCAUAGGCAUUCCCUCCAUAACACGCACAGACAUUUCCCCUUACUUUCUAGGAGGAAAAAAGUGAGUGUUAUGGUGCAAAAAAUACGGUAAAUACUGUAUGCCCUUUUAUAAUGAAAGAAGUAUAUGCUUGAAUGCUGAAGUAACUUUGUCUCCACAUUUUGAGAUGAAUUGGUAGGAAUCUGUAAAACCAAUGAAGGCAAAGAGACAUUCAGUUCCAGCUCUCUCUAGUUUCCCUGUUCUCUUCUUCACUUUUGGUUUGGGAAGGGGACCCAGAGGCUAGUUUGGGUUGUGUCGCUUCUGCAAUUAUAACUAUGCUGGCUUCAGUGGGAGUAACAUCAAACAAUAGUCUUGAUGAUGGUUCAGUUAAUUCACUUUCAGAAGUUCAAUAAUUCAUCUUCGAAGUGUCAGCAGCUGGCUCUUGUUAAUGGUAAGCCUUUCAUUUCUGUUAAAUCAAUUGUGAAUAAUAGAAGCUUUCAGAGAAAAAAUGAUGAAGUAAGCAUUGAUUUCCAAAUUGGGUGUCUGAUCUGGAACAUUAAUAAAACACAGGGCAGGCAGACAACAAGUACCUAAUACACUCUGAUCACCUAAGCAGUAAUCAAAGAAAAAUCAAUGAUUUUUGUGUAUGGUGCUAGGUCUUCUAACACUUCACCUUCUUCCAUUCAUCAUUGUGUCUAUAGCAUCAAUUUUAUAAUUGUUCUGACUUGUUUUUUAUUAUAUAUAAAAAAGGUUUUAUAGUUUGCAUCAUAGCAAGCCAUUUAUCACAAUGGAUCUGGCAAAUCCUGGUCAUUCCGCCUCAUAACUCUACUGGAAAACUCCAUUUUUUGUUUAUAUGCAUUAGGGCUCUCCAUAAAGGCCUUAAUUGGUAUCAAAAUGCUUCCAAGUGAAAUUAAAUGCUCUUUAAAAUAUCCUUAAUGGAUUUUACGUCUUUUUGAAUUGCCAGCCUCCGGGUACCAUUUUGUAUGUUCUAUGUAUAUGUUUCUAUUACCCUCUUCCCCCAGGCUUUAAGGAGAUUUUGAAUUGCUCAAGGUAUCCGUAAUGUAUGUAUGAUGCGAUUAUAAAUAUCUGUAACCUUUGAAGUGCAGGUGUAGUUGAGAAUUGUUUCAAAAGGCUGUAGGAAAGCAUAGUUGCUAUGAAAUGUAGAAACUGGGCAAUGCAGAAAAUUAGCAGGAGGACCCCACAUCCACUGGGCUGCAAAACCGAUGUGGGCCAAGACUGAUCUCAAAAAAGUACACCACACUUUGUUCACAUUGCACAAAAGACCCACAAGCACUUCAUUACAGGGUCCAGAAAACUGGGGGGGGGGGGGGAGAGAAGGCCCCCUCUUCCAAUCUCCCAGCCAUUCCUUGCAGAUUUCAAUCUGUAGUCAAGGAUUUAAAAAAUAGUGUGCAAACAUUUUUCAUGGGGCAAGCAUGUAGGAAGUGCUCAGCAUAAUUUCCGCAGGCCAGAAACUGCCAGUACGCCUUUUAACUUUUGAGCUAGAGCUGUUGCUUUUGCCACACAAUCCUUUUGUGUUUCUUGCAUAGUCCUAUUGCCCCCUCCCCCAGCACAUCUCGUCUUCCUUCUGAGGGUAAGAUGGAAAACCCCACUUGCUUUAGCCAGCAGAGGAGUGACUUGUGAUAACAUGUGGAUUUUUUAAAAAAAAAAAGAUAGAAGAACAUGACUUGACGCUUAAAGCUUUGGUCUUUCUAAUCAACAUUGCAAAAAACAGAAGCGGAAAACGUGUGGAUCUCUGUAUGUUAUUGGAUUCUAGGUCCCCUAAACCCCAGUCAACAUGGCCAGUAGUUAGAGGUGAGUCCAACAACCAGGGUAUCUGAAGGAACAUCUCUCCCCACACCCAGGGGCAUAGGAAGGGGGGUGCGGCCUGGCCCGGGUGUCACCCUUGAGAGGGCUGACAAAAUGGCACACUGCGGGGCCUGUCUUGCAGCGUGCCCGAGCCACGUGUCUCUCCUGGGAGUGAUGCGGUGGCUCGGGACCCUGCGCUGCCUGAAACAGCAGUGUAGGGCUUGCGUCCGCCAGGCAGACUCCGUGGGCAGCUCACAGCGCCGCCGCCCCGGGCGGAUCGCCGUGGCACCCCUGUGUGUUGUUCGCCAUGGCACACCUGUGCGCGGAUCACCCCGCCCCCGUGGGUGGAUCGCCCCACCCCUGCCGCUCCGGGUACCAGAGUACCUAGCUACGCCACUGCCUGCACCCCAAGUCCUACCCAGAUUCUGAGGUCAACUGUGGAGGCUCUUCAGAGUGCUAUCAUUGGCAGAGUUCCAGAACUCAAAGGCUUCCAGAGGUUGCUCCUACCCAGUAUAUUUUCUGGCACCAACAGAAUGCCUUGCUCUUUCAGCAGGCAUUUGGAUAACAGUAUGCUCAGACGGAAUGAUUUGAAAGUUUGUGUUUGAAAUUGUCUUUGUGGUAUAAAAGGUGGUGUAAAAUUUAAAAGUGAAAUGAAAUGAAAAGAAACGAAAUGAAAUGAAAAAGCGGCCGGCCCAAGUGGGACCCCCUGGCCAGCUUAGCCGUCGGAACCCGGGGCAAGUGUACUAGGUUGUCCCCCUCCCUGCAUGGGCCUGUUGUGGUGGGAUAUAAACAGUAGUGGACAGUGGGGUGGGGCGGUGAUGCUCACCUGAGCUCAUGAUGGUUGAGUCGCUGCAACUUACAGGCAAGCAGAGGGAGAGUGGCAAGGUGGUGGGGAGGUGGGCACAGUGCAAACAUGGUGACAACCCUACCAAGCCAUCCACUAUUGGAUGUAAGUAGAAUGAAUGAAUGAAUAAAAAUCUGGAAGGUUGUGAGCUGUCUGCCCUCACUGCAUAUAGUAUUCAGUUUUGAAGAUUCUGAGCUUUAAUUGGCGAGCGCAUGGUUUCGCCAAACCAAACAAUUCUGCUGUUGUUUUAAUAUAAAUCCUCAAGCGGGUAUUUAUAAAUGCAUUUUACAUCCAUUAAGAAAGUUAAAUGUUAGCACACAGUUACUUUAGGAACUACAAAGGAGACUCUGAAGGGCAUAACUGCUUGUUAUAUAUGCAGUGCAAUACUACUGGAAGCGUUGUAGCACAGUUACUAUUAGACUGAAAUAUGGCUGAGUUUGGGGAUUCUGCUGAAGUUUUCGUUUUGGAAAAGAAAUAGUUUUCAUAGAAAUAUCAAAGAAUAAAGCCAUAUGCUGGGUAAAAAGUGGAAGCGUUUUAUUUAUCAGCGUGUGCAGUUUUUGCAGAAGUAUUCAAAGUAUAUUACAGACAUCUGCUAGCAACCCGCACUAACAAUAAAUUCAAGAGUAAGGCAACAUUCGUGGAGGAUAAUAAAAGAUGGAAAUAAAGUUUUAUCUUUGGAAUAAGCUGAUUUCACCUUCCAUCCCAAUCUUAACCUUCCAGAGCUUCUCCACAUAACCUUAAAGAAGAAAUGUGCUGAGAAUAACGUGUAUUUAUGAGCAAUCAGGCUGAUUUGUUGGAACGUGGUCCUUUUUUUGGCAGGAGGGAAGGAACCUAGGAUGUUGGAAGCUUUUGCUGUAGAUUCUGGAUGUAGUGUUUAAUUUCAUGCCUUGAGUCCUUUAUUUACUCUUGAAGUUUCAUUUUUCUGUAGCCUGACUCUUUCUCCUGGAGAAACGUCUCAUCUUCAUUAGAGCAGAGGGCAAACGGGCAAGUUCAUAAUUGCCUUUCCUAAACUCUUCAGUUUUUUGUUUGGUAUCCAUCAACUUGGGUGUCCUAGUGCAGAAUUCACGGACAAAGCGGGUGUUGUUUUAUUUUCAUUUUUGCAGCGAAUUUCCAUGCUCCCUUUCCGCACCAAAGUCCUGACUUAAAAUCGGUUGGACGGAAAAACUCUUCACUAUUUAGCAUAGUUGGCGACGAGUAAGGUUGUUUCUUAAUAGUAUAUAUAGUUUAUACUGGAUGAAAUUAAUCAAAGCAUAGGCAUUUCUGGACUUGAGAGGCUGCUUGGCAUUGUGUGUGCUGACCACUUCUUCCAGCGGGCUUGAUUAUGCCAUGAUAGGGACAGGCUUUGCUGACGUUGGGUGUUGGGAGCUUUCCCCCCCCCCCCACAGUUAAUCCUAGACAAUUUCUAGAGCAGGGGUGGCUAACGUUUUUUUUCUACAUUCCAUCUUGGCCAACACACCAAGGGCCACAUGCAAGUAUUUGGUGUAGUCACCACAUACUCUUGCUUGUAUAGGCAUAGAGCACACCAACAUGCAAAGACCACACCCCUCUUCCUCAGCUGAUCCAAUCAAAUCAACUGGACAAGGCUUAUCACUCUCUCCACUCAUUGUAUGAUCAAUCUGAUGACUUUGGGUUAUAAGUCUUGUAAGAUGGUAAUUCCCAAACAUUUAGAAAAUGUGGUUAUAGUUAUACUUGACUUUCCCUAUGUAGACUAGAUUUCUGUUCAUCUUGACCAGGGGUCAGCAAACAUUUUCAGCAGGGGGCCGGUCCACUGUCCCUUAGACCUUGUGGGGGGCCGGACUAUUUUUUUGGGGGGGGGGGGGAAUGAACGAAUUCCUAUGCUCCACAAAUAACCGAGAGAUGCAUUUUAAAUAAAAGCACACAUUCUACUCAUGUAAAAGGAUUUAGAAGGCGAUUGGGCCAGAUCCGGCCCCCAGGCCUUAGUUUGCCUACCCAUGAUCGUGACAAUACCUUUCAGCUAAAAAUGGCUGAUUCUUUAUAAAUGUACUGACAUCUUUUAUUGAUAAGCAGAUUACGCACAAGACAGAUUUUACCAAAACAUUAGGUAUCCCCAGC
This 5338-nucleotide long non-coding RNA is filed under the name Podarcis lilfordi (Lilford's wall lizard). The record is from RNAcentral. Lineage: Eukaryota; Metazoa; Chordata; Lepidosauria; Squamata; Lacertidae.